CCUACGGGUGGCAGCAGUGGGGAAUAUUGCACAAUGGGGGAAACCCUGAUGCAGCAACGCCGCGUGGGUGAAGAAGUAUUUCGGUAUGUAAAGCCCUAUCAGCAGGGAAGAGAAUGACGGUACCUGACUAAGAAGCCCCGGCUAACUACGUGCCAGCAGCCGCGGUAAUACGUAGGGGGCAAGCGUUAUCCGGAUUUACUGGGUGGAAAGGGAGCGUAGACGGUUGUGCAAGUCUGAAGUGAAAGCCCGCGGCUCAACUGCGGAACGGCUUUGGAAACUGUGUAACUGGAGUGCUGGAGAGGUAAGCGGAAUUCCUGGUGUAGCGGGGAAAUGCUUAGAUAUCACGAAGAACCCCGAUUGCGAAGGCAGCUUACUAAACUGUGACUGACAUUGAUGCUCGAAAGUGUGGGUAUCAAACAGGAUUAGAUACCCGGGUAGUC
Molecule: ribosomal RNA, 440 nt
Filed under: uncultured bacterium
Lineage: Bacteria
Description: partial 16S ribosomal RNA
Rfam family: Bacterial small subunit ribosomal RNA
Source: RNAcentral